Molecule: microRNA, 22 nt
Filed under: Drosophila melanogaster (fruit fly)
Lineage: Eukaryota; Metazoa; Arthropoda; Insecta; Diptera; Drosophilidae
Description: dme-miR-1014-5p
Source: miRBase by way of RNAcentral
UAUAAUGGAAAUAGAUUUUAAU